Molecule: long non-coding RNA, 1080 nt
Filed under: Zonotrichia albicollis (white-throated sparrow)
Lineage: Eukaryota; Metazoa; Chordata; Aves; Passeriformes; Passerellidae
Description: lncRNA (ENSZALG00000017088.1)
Source: RNAcentral
AGAGCAGACCACACUCCCACUUCCACCGGCUCCUGCUGCUCGCUGCAAGUGCAGCGGGGAUCGCUGGCAGCCAGCAGCCGCCUUACCUGCUCCCGAGCGCCAGCACAGCCUGACAAAAACUCAGGGGAACCGGCAAUUUUGUUCCACGCUCUGGCGGAGAGAAGCCUCGGGGGAUUUGCACGGGCAAGGAUCGCCUCGGAACGGUGCCCCCGAGCCGCGGAUGUGCGCGGGGCUGAGGCGGGGGCUGCCCGCGGGGGCGGGGGAGCCCGGCGGGAGCGGAGCGCGGCGGGGCGGGCGCUGCCGGAGCGGAGCGCGGUGCGGACCGGCCGGGGCGGGCGGCAGGAGCCGCGCUGCCCCCGCUGCCCGGAGCGGGCUGUCCCUCGGCUCGGAGGUAAGCUGACUCUACAUUGUGUGUGUUUGUCCCCCCCUCCGCGGGUACCCCGGGUGCCAGGGGCGCGCUGCUGCGCUAACCAGGGCGGCGGCUCGGGGCUGUGGCUCAGCUCCUCGGGCCCGAACCGAGCCGGAGCUGAACGUCGGCAUCUGCCGCUUUGCACUCUCCAUCACAUUCUUUGCAAACUUCUCCUGAGGGGCUGGGGGAGGAGUGAGACGGAGAGGGGGAGGGGGAAACUAACCCCAGGUGAGACCGCGCUCUUGAGAUGCCGCGGACCCUCGCUCCGGUGCCGCCGGGCCCUGCCCAGCCCGGGGAGGCUCCAACACCUUCCGCCGGCGCGGAGCAUCGCGCACCCCCCGUCCCUGCGCCGCUGCAGCAGCGGUUUGAUUUAUCCGAGGCAUUACCGGGACUGUUAUUCCCGGGAAGGCAGAGCGGAGCGCGCUCCCGGCCGCCCGGGCCUGUCCAUGUGCUUACCGCGCCACCGUGAGGCGGCCGCGGGCCCCGCACCGAGAGCUCCCGGGGCCGCCGAACGCGCCGCGGCCGCGGGGACCCCGCGCAGGGCGGACGGGGCCGUCGGGGCUCCGCCGCGGGCAGCCCUCAGCGCCCGGGGCUCCGGGACAGCGCAGGCCGCCGCCUCCCGCCCGCUCUCAGGGGCCGGAGAAAGACGGGGAGAAUUUAAGGAGAAUUGA